AUUUCCUCAUCCCUGGUGUGUCGAUCGAUUCUCGGUGAUCCGGAAAACCCUAGCUCUUCAAUCUUUUGGUGUUGCGGGUGUGAUUUGCAGUGAUAAACAUGAUGAUAUAGCAGCUGCAAUUUAGUGGAACAGAGUGUAAAAAAGUUCAAAUUUUUGUGGAGAAUUCUUUCUAGUUUGAGAUUUGAAUGAAUGAGACCUGAUGCUACUGUAAAAUGCACCAAGAGGAGGCCAUUUUUAGAGAAGGAUGAUGACAUGUGUGACAAAUUUGAAGGAUAAAGAUCACGGCUAUACUAGCUCACUGGGUUAACUGGGUUCUCCUUUCCAGCUAGAGUUGAAGUGUAACCUUAAGGGUGCAUUUGGUUCGCAUUAUGAAAGAUUACUAGGAAUAAAAGAUAUCUAAGAAUCUUAUUCCUAUUCAUCUUAUUACUAAGAAUGUGGAAUUCUUGUGUUUGGUUCGCACGGUAAUAUUAAUUAGCCAUGUUAUUUAAUAUUACAAAAAAUAUACAAUUAAUUAAUUUAUUUAUUUAAUUAAUUUUAGAUAAUGUUAUCAAAAGUUUCAACAUCUUUUUAGAAAAAAGUGAGAGAGAGUAUAAGUUAGAGAGAGAGAGCAUAAUUAAAAAAAUAGAAAGAAAAAUAUAGUCGAAAUUAGAGGGAGUGAGAGAGUUGAAAUUUUAGAAAGAGAGAGAGAGAGAGAAAGCUUAGUUUAGAGAGAAAAAAAAAAAAGUUGAAUUUUAGAGAGAAAAAUAAGUUUAGAGAGAGAUAUAAGGUUAGAGUGUAAAGAAAAAUAAUAUCAAUUAGCUGGCGGGUAGGAAGAAAGAAAGAGAUUAGAUAUAUUAUGAUUAUCCCAAUCCAUUAAUAUGAGGAUACCCACCCUCCCUCAAAUGAAUGAGAUUAGUACUUUGGGGUGAUUCUUAUUCCCAAGUGAAUCUAAUAUUACCAACUAGAUUACUUAGUGCGUUUAGCCAAAUACCGUCAUAUUUUUUUAUUCACAUUGGAUUACUAGUAAUCUGUAAAAGAUAGCGCGAACCAAACGGACCCUAAGUUCAUCUAGCUGGUAAUGACAUAGAUUGCCACAUGUAUCCGGGAUUUUGGAUUACUAAGCUUCUUUCAUAGUUUUUUCUUUUUCUUGAUUGUUUUACCAUUGCAUUAUAGAUUUCUACUUUCUCCAUCUGGUCGAUCACAUAUCAGAAAUUUGUCUAAUUGUCGAUAUUCACAUGUAUAACCAAUUUAAUCAUUGUGGUCUUACUGUUUUUGGUCAAUUGGUA
Molecule: long non-coding RNA, 1265 nt
Filed under: Ananas comosus (pineapple)
Lineage: Eukaryota; Viridiplantae; Streptophyta; Magnoliopsida; Poales; Bromeliaceae
Description: long non-coding RNA (ACOM_LNC025324)
Source: RNAcentral